RNAcentral lists this ribosomal RNA (253 nucleotides) under uncultured bacterium. RNAcentral describes it as "partial 16S ribosomal RNA". It matches the Rfam family "Bacterial small subunit ribosomal RNA", at positions 524 to 776 of the family's 1533-position model. The record is from RNAcentral.
UACAGAGGCCCCAAGCGUUAGGCGGAAUCACUGGGCUUAAAGCGUGUGUAGGUGGAUGCCUAAGUACCUUGUGAAAUCCCACGGCUUAACCAUGGAAUUGCUUGGUAUACUGGGUGUCUUGAGCCACUCAGGGGCUACCGGAACAAACGGUGGAGCGGUGAAAUGCGUAGAUAUCGCUUGGAACGCCAACGGUGAAAACAGGUUGCUGGGGGUGUGCUGACGCUGAGACACGAAAGCCAGGGGAGCGAACGGG